GUAGGGUGCGAGCGUUGUCCGGAAUUAUUGGGCGUAAAGAGCUCGUAGGCGGUGUGUCGCGUCGGCCGUGAAAACCUGGGGCUUAACUCUGGGCGUGCGGUCGAUACGGGCAUCACUAGAGUUCGGCAGGGGAGACUGGAAUUCCUGGUGUAGCGGUGAAAUGCGCAGAUAUCAGGAGGAACACCGGUGGCGAAGGCGGGUCUCUGGGCCGAUACUGACGCUGAGGAGCGAAAGCAUGGGUAGCGAACAGGAUUAGAUACCCUGGUAGUCCAUGCCGUAAACGUUGGGCGCUAGGUGUGGGGUCCAUUCCACGGGUUCCGUGCCGCAGCUAACGCAUUAAGCGCCCCGCCUGGGGAGUACGGCCGCAAGGCUAAA
Molecule: ribosomal RNA, 375 nt
Filed under: uncultured bacterium
Lineage: Bacteria
Description: bacterial SSU rRNA
Rfam family: Bacterial small subunit ribosomal RNA
Source: RNAcentral